Molecule: long non-coding RNA, 1238 nt
Organism: Musa acuminata AAA Group (dessert banana)
Lineage: Eukaryota; Viridiplantae; Streptophyta; Magnoliopsida; Zingiberales; Musaceae
Exons: 3
Source: RefSeq, a predicted model, not a curated record
UACAAGUUUCUUAGCAUUUGCAUUAGAAAUCCUGGAGAUGCUUUAGUCCGUGACAUUCGUAUUGGUAGGAUAUCGGGACGGUGACAGAGAAGUUAGAAGAAUGUGAGCAUAAGGUGUGGAUGCCGAAGCUAUGGUGCAAGCAAUUCAUAUACGAUGUACAUAGAGAGAGAGAGAGAGAUUGUUUGGAUGAAUCGGUCCACCCCGACCGCUUUAUCUUUUCUCCUCUUGAUUGUCCAUAUAUAUACGAAUGGUCAUUUCUUCUUUUGAAACGAGAUAGACAGACGCCAGCAUGUUGGAACUCAUCAGCCCGGAAGAUGAGUGUGGAUUGAAAUGGGCUUCGAUAGGACUUAUUGGAUGUGGGUCUAUGGAUUUGGGUUGUGAUUCAGUGACGAGCCAAGCUGCAGCUGCAUUGAUCCAAGGCGGACAGGACAGGUAUAAUGUCACCAUAUAACAAGAUUGAGCUUACGGUGAUUGUGGUUUUAGCCUCCCGGUGGUCGGGAUGUCUGUUUGCUGGCGAUGCGAAGAUGUCGAUGCUGGUGCUCCUCUACGCGGUUGCAGCAGCGACAAGACUUUUGUUUAUGAGAAGCCGUCACGAGGGACAAGGCCACAUGUGACACCGUAUUGCAACGAUCAAACUAAAUAUGCUAUCAGCAUCCGCAAGCAAAUGUAACACAAUCGGACGAUACGGAGUUGCCACCCAAGCAAAAGUUGCGAGGUGAAAGGAGGAGGAGCAGCAGCAGCAGCAGCAUCAGCAUCAGAGGAGUGACGGUGAUCGCAUCCUGCUCACAGCGUGCCUCGGGAUGCAUCUCAUCAAAGGAGAACAUUGGGUUCCGCUUUAGGGAAGCAAGACAAGGAGCCUUUCCAUGUGGAUUGUUAGCUGCACGCAGCCAUCGCUCGUCCUUGGAGAAAAAGAGGAGCGAGGGUUUCACUCCUCCAUCACCCGAGAUGACUGACUCCAACCCAUAAUAUCCACCGAGGAGCAGACAGUGCCACCCUGAAUCGUCCUCUCCAUGUCCAUGUCGAGGAACACUUGCUAUUCCGAAAGAAAAAUACACGUGGUCUCACCUGCUAUAGUUCCCAUCAGUGUCGGAGUCUUACCUUCAUCACCAGAUCGACAGGAAGCGCAAAAAAAUUAUUGCAAAAACAACUUAUCGUCGUUGGGCUCCAAGUGUUCUCAUGUUUAAUAUUUUAUGUUGGAUCUCAGUAUUUAUUAAAUAAACGGGACACUUUCUUUUUCA